Molecule: transfer RNA, 69 nt
Filed under: Mus musculus (house mouse)
Lineage: Eukaryota; Metazoa; Chordata; Mammalia; Rodentia; Muridae
Rfam family: tRNA
About the family: Transfer RNA (tRNA) molecules are approximately 80 nucleotides in length.
Source: Rfam by way of RNAcentral
GCUGUAGUUGAGUUUGUACAGUGCCUGCCUUGCAUGCAGAAGACCCUGGGUUCUACUCCCAGAACAGCA